CGCGUGGGAACGUGCCUUUCACUACGGAAUAGCUCUUGGAAACGAGUGGUAAUACCGUAUACGCCCUCCGGGGGAAAGAUUUAUCGGUGAAAGAUCGGCCCGCGUUAGAUUAGUUUGUUGGUGGGGUAAUGGCCUACCAAGACUACGAUCUAUAGCUGGUCUGAGAGGAUGAUCAGCCACACUGGGACUGAGACACGGCCCACACUCAUACGGGAGGCAGCAGUGGGGAAUCUUGCACAAUGGGCGAAAGCCUGAUGCAGCCAUGCCGCGUGAAUGAUGAAGGCCUUAGGGUUGUAAAAUUCUUUCGCCAGGGAUGAUAAUGACAGUACCUGGUAAAGAAGCCCCGGCUAACUUCGUGCCAGCAGCCGCGGUAAUACGAAGGGGGCUAGCGGUGUGGGGAAUUACUGGGCGUAAAGCGCGCGUAGGCGGGUUGUUAAGUCAGAUGUGAAAGCCCGGGGCUCAACCUCGGAAUUGCAUUUGAAACUAGCAGUCCUAGAGACCAGGAGAGGUUAGCGGAAUACCGAGUGUAGAGGUGAAAUUC
Molecule: ribosomal RNA, 541 nt
Filed under: uncultured Hyphomonadaceae bacterium
Lineage: Bacteria; Pseudomonadati; Pseudomonadota; Alphaproteobacteria; Hyphomonadales; Hyphomonadaceae
Description: bacterial SSU rRNA
Rfam family: Bacterial small subunit ribosomal RNA
Source: RNAcentral